RNAcentral lists this ribosomal RNA (585 nucleotides) under Fusarium keratoplasticum. RNAcentral's name for it is "LSU rRNA". It matches the Rfam family "Eukaryotic large subunit ribosomal RNA", at positions 40 to 648 of the family's 3401-position model. The record is from RNAcentral. Lineage: Eukaryota; Fungi; Ascomycota; Sordariomycetes; Hypocreales; Nectriaceae. RNAcentral also lists the same sequence under 1 other name.
AUAUCAAUAAGCGGAGGAAAAGAAACCAACAGGGAUUGCCCCAGUAACGGCGAGUGAAGCGGCAACAGCUCAAAUUUGAAAUCUGGCUCUCGGGCCCGAGUUGUAAUUUGUAGAGGAUGCUUUUGGUGAGGUGCCUUCCGAGUUCCCUGGAACGGGACGCCAUAGAGGGUGAGAGCCCCGUCUGGUUGGACACCGAUCCUCUGUAAAGCUCCUUCGACGAGUCGAGUAGUUUGGGAAUGCUGCUCUAAAUGGGAGGUAUAUGUCUUCUAAAGCUAAAUACCGGCCAGAGACCGAUAGCGCACAAGUAGAGUGAUCGAAAGAUGAAAAGAACUUUGAAAAGAGAGUUAAACAGUACGUGAAAUUGUUGAAAGGGAAGCGCUUGUGACCAGACUUGGGCUUGGUUGAUCAUCCGGGGUUCUCCCCGGUGCACUCUUCCGGCCCAGGCCAGCAUCAGUUCGCCCUGGGGGACAAAGGCUUCGGGAAUGUGGCUCUCUCCGGGGAGUGUUAUAGCCCGUUGCGUAAUACCCUGUGGCGGACUGAGGUUCGCGCAUUCGCAAGGAUGCUGGCGUAAUGGUCAUCAGUGAC